GAUGAACGCUAGCGGGAGGCCUAACACAUGCAAGCCGAGCGGUAUUUGUUCUUCUGAACAGAGAGAGCGGCGCACGGGUGCGGAACACGUGUGCAACCUGCCUUUAUCUGGGGGAUAGCCUUUCGAAAGGAAGAUUAAUACCCCAUAAUAUAUUGAGUGGCAUCAUUUGAUAUUGAAAACUCCGUUGGAUAGAGAUGGGCACGCGCAAGAUUAGAUAGUUGUUGAGGGAACGGAUGACCAAGUCGACGAUCGGUAGCGGGCCUGAGAGGGUGAUCGGCCACAUUGGGACUGAGAUACGGCCCAGACCCCUACGGGAGGAAGCAGUGGGGAAUAUUGCACAAUGGGCGGAAGCCUGAUGCAGCGACGCCGCGUGAGGGAUGACGGCCUUCGGGUUGUAAACCUCUAUCAGCAGGGACGAAGCGUAAGUGACGGUACAUGCAGAAGAAGCACCGGCUAACUAUGUG
Molecule: ribosomal RNA, 464 nt
Filed under: uncultured bacterium
Lineage: Bacteria
Description: partial 16S ribosomal RNA
Rfam family: Bacterial small subunit ribosomal RNA
Source: RNAcentral